CCUACGGGAGGCAGCAGUGGGGAAUCUUGCGCAAUGGGCGAAAGCCUGACGCAGCCAUGCCGCGUGAAUGAUGAAGGUCUUAGGAUUGUAAAAUUCUUUCACCGGGGACGAUAAUGACGGUACCCGGAGAAGAAGCCCCGGCUAACUUCGUGCCAGCAGCCGCGGUAAUACGAAGGGGGCUAGCGUUGCUCGGAAUUACUGGGCGUAAAGGGAGCGUAGGCGGAUAGUUUAGUCAGAGGUGAAAGCCCAGGGCUCAACCUUGGAAUUGCCUUUGAUACUGGCUAUCUUGAGUAUGGGAGAGGUUAGCGGAACUCCGAGUGUAGAGGUGAAAUUCGUAGAUAUUCGGAAGAACACCAGUGGCGAAGGCGGCUAACUGGCCCAUUACUGACGCUGAGGCUCGAAAGCGUGGGGAGCAAACAGGAUUAGAUACCCGGGUAGUCCACGCCGUAAACGAUGAGUGCUAGUUGUCGGCAUGCAUGCAUGUCGGUGACGCAGCUAACGCAUUAAGCACUCCGCCUGGGGAGUACGGUCGCAAGAUUAAAACUCAAAGGAAUUGACGG
This 560-nucleotide ribosomal RNA is filed under the name uncultured bacterium. RNAcentral describes it as "bacterial SSU rRNA". It matches the Rfam family "Bacterial small subunit ribosomal RNA", at positions 338 to 916 of the family's 1533-position model. The record is from RNAcentral.